This 497-nucleotide ribosomal RNA is filed under the name uncultured bacterium. RNAcentral describes it as "partial 16S ribosomal RNA". It matches the Rfam family "Bacterial small subunit ribosomal RNA", at positions 28 to 507 of the family's 1533-position model. The record is from RNAcentral.
GAUGAACGCUGGCGGCGUGCCUAAUACAUGCAAGUCGAGCGAACGGACGAGAAGCUUGCUUUUCUGAUGUUAGCGGCGGACGGGUGAGUAACAAGAGGAUAACCUACCUAUAAGACUCGGCUAACUUCGGGAAACCGGAGCUAAUACCGGAUAAUAUUUUGAACCGCAUGAUUCAAAAGUGAAAGACGGUCUUGCUGUCACUUAUAGAUGGAUACGCGCUGCAUUAUCUAGUUGGUAAGGUAACGGCUUACCAAGGCAACGAUGCAGAGCCGACCUGAGAGGGUGAUCGGCCACACUGGAACUGAGACACGGUCCAGACUCCUACUGGAGGCAGCAGUAGGGAAGCUUCCGCAAUGGGCGAAAGCCGGACGGUGCAACACCGCGUGAGUGAUGAAGGUCUUCGGAUCGGAGAACUCUGUUAUUAGGGAAGAACAUAUGUGUAAGUAACUGUGCACAUCUUGACGGUACCUAAUCAGAAAGCCACGGCUAACUACGUG